GACGAACGCUGGCGGCGUGCUUAACACAUGCAAGUCGAACGGAAAGGCCCUGCUUUUGUGGGGUGCUCGAGUGGCGAACGGGUGAGUAACACGUGAGUAACCUGCCCUUGACUUUGGGAUAACUUCAGGAAACUGGGGCUAAUACCGGAUAGGAGCUCCUGCUGCAUGGUGGGGGUUGGAAAGUUUCGGCGGUUGGGGAUGGACUCGCGGCUUAUCAGCUUGUUGGUGGGGUAGUGGCUUACCAAGGCUUUGACGGGUAGCCGGCCUGAGAGGGUGACCGGCCACAUUGGGACUGAGGUACGGCCCAGACUCCUACGGGAGGCAGCAGUGGGGAAUAUUGCACAAUUGGCGGAAGCCUGAUGCAGCAACGCCGCGUGCGGGAUGACGGCCUUCGGGUUGUAAACCGCUUUCGCCUGUGACGAAGCGUGAGUGACGGUAAUGGGUAAAGAAGCACCGGCUAACUACGUG
Molecule: ribosomal RNA, 468 nt
Filed under: uncultured bacterium
Lineage: Bacteria
Description: partial 16S ribosomal RNA
Rfam family: Bacterial small subunit ribosomal RNA
Source: RNAcentral